This 326-nucleotide ribosomal RNA is filed under the name uncultured eukaryote. RNAcentral describes it as "partial 18S ribosomal RNA". It matches the Rfam family "Eukaryotic small subunit ribosomal RNA", at positions 1470 to 1796 of the family's 1831-position model. The record is from RNAcentral.
CCCUUAGAUGUUCUGGGCUGCACGCGCGCUACACUGAUGCGUUCAACAAGUUGGACCUCGUCCGAGAGGAAAUCGGGGGAAUCUUUUGAAAACGUAUCGUGAUAGGGAUAGAUUAUUGUAAUUAUUAAUCUUCAACGAGGAAUUCCUAGUAAGCAUGAGUCAUCAGCUCGUGCUGAUUACGUCCCUGCCCUUUGUACACACCGCCCGUCGCUCAUACCGAUUGAGUGAUCCGGUGAAUUAACCAGAUUGUGGCGAGGGUAGUUUUCUGCUAUUGCUACGAAAAGGUUUGUGAACCUUAUCACUUAGAGGAAGGAGAAGUCGUAACA